Small nuclear RNA from Myotis lucifugus (little brown bat), 122 nucleotides. Lineage: Eukaryota; Metazoa; Chordata; Mammalia; Chiroptera; Vespertilionidae. The record is from Ensembl.
GAGUUGUAUAAGGAGAGGUUAGCAGUCCCCUUGACAAGAAUAGAAAAGACCCUUGAGCCUGUAUAACACACAUAGAGUUAAGGCAUCAUCUCCCACGUGGCGGCAUCUAACCAUGGCUUUGA